RNAcentral lists this ribosomal RNA (438 nucleotides) under uncultured bacterium. Its description in RNAcentral is "bacterial SSU rRNA". It matches the Rfam family "Bacterial small subunit ribosomal RNA", at positions 338 to 793 of the family's 1533-position model. The record is from RNAcentral.
CCUACGGGAGGCAGCAGUGGGGAAUAUUGGACAAUGGGCGAAAGCCUGAUCCAGCCAUGCCGCGUGAGUGAUGAAGGCCUUAGGGUUGUAAAGCUCUUUCGCCGGGGAAGAUAAUGACGGUACCCGGAGAAGAAGCCCCGGCUAACUCCGUGCCAGCAGCCGCGGUAAUACGGAGGGGGCUAGCGUUGUUCGGAAUUACUGGGCGUAAAGCGCGCGCAGGCGGUNAGUUAAGUCAGAGGUGAAAGCCCGGGGCUCAACCUCGGAAGUGCCUUUGAUACUGGCUCGCUNGAGUNUGGAAGAGGAGAGUGGAAUUCCCAGUGUAGAGGUGAAAUUCGUAGAUAUUCGGAAGAACACCAGUGGCGAAGGCGGCUCUCUGGNCCAUUACUGACGCUNANGCGCGAAAGCGUGGGGAGCAAACAGGAUUAGAUACCCUGGUAG